Molecule: ribosomal RNA, 1177 nt
Filed under: uncultured bacterium
Lineage: Bacteria
Description: bacterial SSU rRNA
Rfam family: Bacterial small subunit ribosomal RNA
Source: RNAcentral
AGGAUGGGGAUGCGUUGGAUUAGCUUGCUGGUGGGGUAACGGCCCACCUAGCCGACGAUCCUUAGGGGUUCUGAGAGGAAGGUCCCCCACACUGGCACUGAGACACGGGCCAGACUCCUACGGGAGGCAGCAGUGAGGAAUAUUGGUCAAUGGGCGGAAGCCUGAACCAGCCAAGUAGCGUGCAGGAUGACGGCCCUACGGGUUGUAAACUGCUUUUGCGGGAGGAUAAAACGCCCCACGUGUGGGGCCUUGCAGGUAUCCCGCGAAUAAGGACCGGCUAAUUCCGUGCCAGCAGCCGCGGUAAUACGGAAGGUCCGGGCGUUAUCCGGAUUUAUUGGGUUUAAAGGGAGCGCAGGCGGAGAUGCAAGUGUGCCGUGAAAUCGCGGGGCUCAACCCCGUCCAGCGGCGCGAACUGCAUCCCUUGGUUGCGGGAGAGGAAGGCGGAACUCGUGGUGUAGCGGUGAAAUGCAUAGAUAUCACGAAGAACUCCGAUCGCGUAGGCAGCCUUCCAGCCCGCCAACGACGCUCAUGCUCGAAGGCGCGGGUAUCAAACAGGAUUAGAUACCCUGGUAGUCCGCGCAGUAAACGACGAGUGCUCGGGGUUUGCCCUUUUGGCUGAGCCCCCCAGCGAAAGCGUUAAGCACUCCACCUGGGGAGUACGCCGGCAACGGUGAAACUCAAAGGAAUUGAGGGGGGCCUGCACAAGGGGAGGAACAUGUCGCCCCAUUCGAUGAUACGCGAGGAACCUUACCCGGGCUUGAAAUGGGGGUGACGGGAGGCAGAGACGCCUCCUUUCUCCGGACACCCCCGUAGGUCCUGCAUGGUCGUCGUCAGCUCGUGCCGUGAGGUGUCGGCUUAAGUGCCAUAACGAGCGCAACCCCUUCCGCCGGUUACCAUCGGGUCAUGCCGGGGACUCCGGCGGCACUGCCGCCGCAAGGCGCGAGGAAGGCGGGGACGACGUCAAAUCAGCACGGCCCUUACGUCCGGGGCCACACACGUGUUACAAUGGGGGGCACAGCGAGCUGGAGCAUGGCGACAUGCUUCGAAUCAUGAAAUCCCCUCCCAGUUCGGACUGGAGUCUGCAACCCGACUCCACGAAGCCGGAUUCGCUAGUAAUCGCGCAUCAGCCAUGGCGCGGUGAAUACGUUCCCGGGCCUUGCACACACCGCCCGUCAAG